This 3028-nucleotide ribosomal RNA is filed under the name Salmonella enterica subsp. enterica serovar Bredeney str. CFSAN001080. RNAcentral's name for it is "bacterial LSU rRNA". It matches the Rfam family "Bacterial large subunit ribosomal RNA". Lineage: Bacteria; Pseudomonadati; Pseudomonadota; Gammaproteobacteria; Enterobacterales; Enterobacteriaceae. The record is from RNAcentral.
GGGUUGUGAGGUUAAGCGACUAAGCGUACACGGUGGAUGCCCUGGCAGUCAGAGGCGAUGAAGGGCGUGCUAAUCUGCGAUAAGCGCCGGUAAGGUGAUAUGAACCGUUAUAACCGGCGAUACCCGAAUGGGGAAACCCAGUGUGACUCGUCACACUAUCAUUAACUGAAUCCAUAGGUUAAUGAGGCGAACCGGGGGAACUGAAACAUCUAAGUACCCCGAGGAAAAGAAAUCAACCGAGAUUCCCCCAGUAGCGGCGAGCGAACGGGGAGGAGCCCAGAGCCUGAAUCAGCAUAUGUGUUAGUGGAAGCGUCUGGAAAGGCGCGCGAUACAGGGUGACAGCCCCGUACACAAAAGCGCAUGUGCUGUGAGCUCGAUGAGUAGGGCGGGACACGUGGUAUCCUGUCUGAAUAUGGGGGGACCAUCCUCCAAGGCUAAAUACUCCUGACUGACCGAUAGUGAACCAGUACCGUGAGGGAAAGGCGAAAAGAACCCCGGCGAGGGGAGUGAAAAAGAACCUGAAACCGUGUACGUACAAGCAGUGGGAGCCCCACCACUAAGCCAGUGGUGAACUCCACAUACGCAUCCUUUGCUGAGGAUACGGUUAACGGAGCGAAAGCGACGUUCAACCUCAAAAGAAGCAGAGGGGGCUUAGUGGUGGGGUGACUGCGUACCUUUUGUAUAAUGGGUCAGCGACUUAUAUUCUGUAGCAAGGUUAACCGAAUAGGGGAGCCGGAGGGAAACCGAGUCUUAACCGGGCGUUAAGUUGCAGGGUAUAGACCCGAAACCCGGUGAUCUAGCCAUGGGCAGGUUGAAGGUUGGGUAACACUAACUGGAGGACCGAACCGACUAAUGUUGAAAAAUUAGCGGAUGACCUGUGGCUGGGGGUGAAAGGCCAAUCAAACCGGGAGAUAGCUGGUUCUCCCCGAAAGCUAUUUAGGUAGCGCCUCGUGAAUUCAUCUCCGGGGGUAGAGCACUGUUUCGGCUAGGGGGCCAUCCCGGCUUACCAACCCGAUGCAAACUGCGAAUACCGGAGAAUGUUAUCACGGGAGACACACGGCGGGUGCUAACGUCCGUCGUGAAGAGGGAAACAACCCAGACCGCCAGCUAAGGUCCCAAAGUCAUGGUUAAGUGGGAAACGAUGUGGGAAGGCCCAGACAGCCAGGAUGUUGGCUUAGAAGCAGCCAUCAUUUAAAGAAAGCGUAAUAGCUCACUGGUCGAGUCGGCCUGCGCGGAAGAUGUAACGGGGCUAAACCAUGCACCGAAGCUGCGGCAGCGACGCUGAUGCGUUGUUGGGUAGGGGAGCGUUCUGUAAGCCUGCGAAGGUGGCCUGUGAGGGUUGCUGGAGGUAUCAGAAGUGCGAAUGCUGACAUAAGUAACGAUAAAGCGGGUGAAAAGCCCGCUCGCCGGAAGACCAAGGGUUCCUGUCCAACGUUAAUCGGGGCAGGGUGAGUCGACCCCUAAGGCGAGGCCGAAAGGCGUAGUCGAUGGGAAACGGGUUAAUAUUCCCGUACUUGGUGUUACUGCGAAGGGGGGACGGAGAAGGCUAUGUUGGCCGGGCGACGGUUGUCCCGGUUUAAGCGUGUAGGUGUGUGUUCCAGGUAAAUCCGGUUCACUUUAACACUGAGGCGUGAUGACGAGGCACUACGGUGCUGAAGCAACAAAUGCCCUGCUUCCAGGAAAAGCCUCUAAGCAUCAGGUAACAUCAAAUCGUACCCCAAACCGACACAGGUGGUCAGGUAGAGAAUACCAAGGCGCUUGAGAGAACUCGGGUGAAGGAACUAGGCAAAAUGGUGCCGUAACUUCGGGAGAAGGCACGCUGACACGUAGGUGAAGUGAUUUACUCAUGGAGCUGAAGUCAGUCGAAGAUACCAGCUGGCUGCAACUGUUUAUUAAAAACACAGCACUGUGCAAACACGAAAGUGGACGUAUACGGUGUGACGCCUGCCCGGUGCCGGAAGGUUAAUUGAUGGGGUCAGCGCAAGCGAAGCUCCUGAUCGAAGCCCCGGUAAACGGCGGCCGUAACUAUAACGGUCCUAAGGUAGCGAAAUUCCUUGUCGGGUAAGUUCCGACCUGCACGAAUGGCGUAAUGAUGGCCAGGCUGUCUCCACCCGAGACUCAGUGAAAUUGAACUCGCUGUGAAGAUGCAGUGUACCCGCGGCAAGACGGAAAGACCCCGUGAACCUUUACUAUAGCUUGACACUGAACAUUGAGCCUUGAUGUGUAGGAUAGGUGGGAGGCUUUGAAGUGUGGACGCCAGUCUGCAUGGAGCCGGCCUUGAAAUACCACCCUUUAAUGUUUGAUGUUCUAACGUGGACCCGUGAUCCGGGUUGCGGACAGUGUCUGGUGGGUAGUUUGACUGGGGCGGUCUCCUCCUAAAGAGUAACGGAGGAGCACGAAGGUUGGCUAAUCCUGGUCGGACAUCAGGAGGUUAGUGCAAUGGCAUAAGCCAGCUUGACUGCGAGCGUGACGGCGCGAGCAGGUGCGAAAGCAGGUCAUAGUGAUCCGGUGGUUCUGAAUGGAAGGGCCAUCGCUCAACGGAUAAAAGGUACUCCGGGGAUAACAGGCUGAUACCGCCCAAGAGUUCAUAUCGACGGCGGUGUUUGGCACCUCGAUGUCGGCUCAUCACAUCCUGGGGCUGAAGUAGGUCCCAAGGGUAUGGCUGUUCGCCAUUUAAAGUGGUACGCGAGCUGGGUUUAGAACGUCGUGAGACAGUUCGGUCCCUAUCUGCCGUGGGCGCUGGAGAACUGAGGGGGGCUGCUCCUAGUACGAGAGGACCGGAGUGGACGCAUCACUGGUGUUCGGGUUGUCAUGCCAAUGGCACUGCCCGGUAGCUAAAUGCGGAAGAGAUAAGUGCUGAAAGCAUCUAAGCACGAAACUUGCCCCGAGAUGAGUUCUCCCUGAGACUUAGAGUCUCCUGAAGGAACGUUGAAGACGACGACGUUGAUAGGCCGGGUGUGUAAGCGCAGCGAUGCGUUGAGCUAACCGGUACUAAUGAACCGUGAGGCUUAACCUUACAACGCCGAAG